Small nuclear RNA from Cucurbita maxima (winter squash), 106 nucleotides. NCBI's taxonomy places the organism in Eukaryota, Viridiplantae, Streptophyta, Magnoliopsida, Cucurbitales, Cucurbitaceae. The record is from RefSeq and is a predicted model, not a curated record.
GUUUCUACAUCCUGGGACAUCCGAUAAAAUUGGAACAAUACAUAGAAGAUUAGCAUGAUCCCUGUGCAAGGAUGACAGCACAAAUCGAGAAAUUGUCCAAAUUUUU